AACGAACGCUGGCGGCAUGCCUAACACAUGCAAGUCGAACGAGACCUUCGGGUCUAGUGGCGCACGGGUGCGUAACGCGUGGGAACCUGCCCUUAGGUUCGGAAUAACUCCCCGAAAGGGGUGCUAAUACCGGAUAAUGUCUUCGGACCAAAGAUUUAUCGCCUUUGGAUGUGCCCGCGUUGGAUUAGCUAGUUGGUAGGGUAAAAGCCUACCAAGGCGACGAUCCAUAGCUGGUCUGAGAGGAUGAUCAGCCACACUGGGACUGAGACACGGCCCAGACUCCUACGGGAGGCAGGAGUGGGGAAUAUUGGACAAUGGGCGAAAGCCUGAUCCAGCAAUGCCGCGUGAGUGAUGAAGGCCUUAGGGUUGUAAAGCUCUUUUACCCGGGAUGAUAAUGACAGUACCGGGAGAAUAAGCCCCGGCUAACUCCGUG
RNAcentral lists this ribosomal RNA (433 nucleotides) under uncultured bacterium. RNAcentral describes it as "partial 16S ribosomal RNA". It matches the Rfam family "Bacterial small subunit ribosomal RNA", at positions 29 to 507 of the family's 1533-position model. The record is from RNAcentral.